This 465-nucleotide ribosomal RNA is filed under the name uncultured bacterium. Its description in RNAcentral is "partial 16S ribosomal RNA". It matches the Rfam family "Bacterial small subunit ribosomal RNA", at positions 28 to 507 of the family's 1533-position model. The record is from RNAcentral.
GACGAACGCUGGCGGCGUGCUUAACACAUGCAAGUCGAACGGAAAGGCCCUGCUUGCAGGGUACUCGAGUGGCGAACGGGUGAGUAACACGUGGGUGAUCUGCCCUGCACUUCGGGAUAAGCCUGGGAAACUGGGUCUAAUACCGGAUAGGAGCCAUUUUUAGUGUGAUGGUUGGAAAGUUUUUUCGGUGUAGGAUGAGCUCGCGGCCUAUCAGCUUGUUGGUGGGGUAAUGGCCUACCAAGGCGGCGACGGGUAGCCGGCCUGAGAGGGUGGACGGCCACCAUGGGACUGAGGUACGGCCCAGACUCCUACGGGAGGCAGCAGGGGGGAAUAUUGCACAAUGGGCGCAAGCCUGAUGCAGCGACGCCGCGUGGGGGAUGACGGCCUUCGGGUUGUAAACUCCUUUCGCUAGGGACGAAGCUUUUUGUGACGGUACCUAGAUAAGAAGCACCGGCUAACUACGUG